UCCGUAGGUGGAUAAUUAAGUCAGAGGUGAAAUACCAUAGCUCAACUAUGGAACUGCCUUUGAUACUGGUUGACUUGAGUCAUAUGGAAGUAGAUAGAAUGUGUAGUGUAGCGGUGAAAUGCAUAGAUAUUACACAGAAUACCGAUUGCGAAGGCAGUCUACUACGUAUGUACUGACGCUGAGGGACGAAAGCGUGGGGAGCGAACAGGAUUAGAUACCCUGGUAGUCC
This 229-nucleotide ribosomal RNA is filed under the name uncultured bacterium. RNAcentral describes it as "partial 16S ribosomal RNA". It matches the Rfam family "Bacterial small subunit ribosomal RNA", at positions 568 to 796 of the family's 1533-position model. The record is from RNAcentral.